GCCUUCGUGGUGUAGUGGUCAGCACGCUGGGCGUGUAUCCUGAUGUCCGUGGUUCGAGUCCUGGCGAAGGCG
RNAcentral lists this transfer RNA (72 nucleotides) under Stegodyphus mimosarum. It matches the Rfam family "tRNA". Rfam says of the family: Transfer RNA (tRNA) molecules are approximately 80 nucleotides in length. Their secondary structure includes four short double-helical elements and three loops (D, anti-codon, and T loops). Further hydrogen bonds mediate the characteristic L-shaped molecular structure. tRNAs have two regions of fundamental functional importance: the anti-codon, which is responsible for specific mRNA codon recognition, and the 3' end, to which the tRNAs corresponding amino acid is attached (by aminoacyl-tRNA synthetases). tRNAs cope with the degeneracy of the genetic code in two manners: having more than one tRNA (with a specific anti-codon) for a particular amino acid; and 'wobble' base-pairing, i.e. permitting non-standard base-pairing at the 3rd anti-codon position. The record is from Rfam by way of RNAcentral. Lineage: Eukaryota; Metazoa; Arthropoda; Arachnida; Araneae; Eresidae.